Molecule: ribosomal RNA, 289 nt
Filed under: uncultured bacterium
Lineage: Bacteria
Description: partial 16S ribosomal RNA
Rfam family: Bacterial small subunit ribosomal RNA
Source: RNAcentral
CUUAAGCGUUGUUCGGAUUUAUUGGGCGUAAAGCGCGUGUAGGCGGUCUUUUAAGUCUGAUGUGAAAGCCCCGGGCUCAACCCGGGAAGUGCAUUGGAAACUGGGAGACUUGAAUACGGGAGAGGGUAGUGGAAUUCCUAGUGUAGGAGUGAAAUCCGUAGAUAUUAGGAGGAACACCGGUGGCGAAGGCGGCUACCUGGACCGAUAUUGACGCUGAGACGCGAAAGCGUGGGGAGCAAACAGGAUUAGAUACCCUGGUAGUCCACGCCGUAAACGAUGAGUACUAGGU